Molecule: ribosomal RNA, 508 nt
Filed under: uncultured bacterium
Lineage: Bacteria
Description: bacterial SSU rRNA
Rfam family: Bacterial small subunit ribosomal RNA
Source: RNAcentral
GAUGAACGCUAGCUACAGGCUUAACACAUGCAAGUCGAGGGGUAGCAGGGUAGCAAUACCGCUGACGACCGGCGCACGGGUGAGUAACACGUAUCCAACCUUCCCAUAACUCUGGGAUAGCCUUUCGAAAGAAAGAUUAAUACCGGAUAGUACUUUUUCAAGGCAUCUUGAGAAAGUUAAAGAUUUAUUGGUUAUGGAUGGGGAUGCGUUCCAUUAGAUAGUUGGUGAGGUAACGGCUCACCAAGUCUUCGAUGGAUAGGGGUUCUGAGAGGAAGGUCCCCCACAUUGGUACUGAGACACGGACCAAACUCCUACGGGAGGCAGCAGUGAGGAAUAUUGGUCAAUGGGCGAGAGCCUGAACCAGCCAAGUAGCGUGAAGGAUGAAGGUCCUAUGGAUUGUAAACUUCUUUUAUAGUAGAAUAAAGUGACCCACGUGUGGGUUUUUGUAUGUAUACUAUGAAUAAGGAUCGGCUAACUCCGUGCCAGCAGCCGCGGUAAAACGUGCGUG